UUCUAUUACUCCUUCUGUAAAAUAUAAGAGAUUUUGCCUAGAUGUGACACAUCCUAGUACAACGAAUCUGGUCAACGAAUCUGGUCAGAAGUCUGUCCAGAUUCGUUGUACUAGGAUUUGUCACAUCUAACUAAAACCCCUUAUAUUUAG
RNAcentral lists this unclassified non-coding RNA (150 nucleotides) under Oryza sativa (Asian cultivated rice). RNAcentral describes it as "partial microRNA MIR468n-12 precursor". Lineage: Eukaryota; Viridiplantae; Streptophyta; Magnoliopsida; Poales; Poaceae. The record is from RNAcentral.